Molecule: ribosomal RNA, 1551 nt
Filed under: Escherichia coli
Lineage: Bacteria; Pseudomonadati; Pseudomonadota; Gammaproteobacteria; Enterobacterales; Enterobacteriaceae
Description: partial 23S ribosomal RNA
Rfam family: Bacterial large subunit ribosomal RNA
Source: RNAcentral
UGUGAGGUAUGCUGGAGGUAUCAGAAGUGCGAAUGCUGACAUAAGUAACGAUAAAGCGGGUGAAAAGCCCGCUCGCCGGAAGACCAAGGGUUCCUGUCCAACGUUAAUCGGGGCAGGGUGAGUCGACCCCUAAGGCGAGGCCGAAAGGCGUAGUCGAUGGGAAACAGGUUAAUAUUCCUGUACUUGGUGUUACUGCGAAGGGGGGACGGAGAAGGCUAUGUUGGCCGGGCGACGGUUGUCCCGGUUUAAGCGUGUAGGCUGGUUUUCCAGGCAAAUCCGGAAAAUCAAGGCUGAGGCGUGAUGACGAGGUACUACGGUGCUGAAGCAACAAAUGCCCUGCUUCCAGGAAAAGCCUCUAAGCAUCAGGUAACAUCAAAUCGUACCCCAAACCGACACAGGUGGUCAGGUAGAGAAUACCAAGGCGCUUGAGAGAACUCGGGUGAAGGAACUAGGCAAAAUGGUGCCGUAACUUCGGGAGAAGGCACGCUGAUAUGUAGGUGAAGCGACUUGCUCGUGGAGCUGAAAUCAGUCGAAGAUACCAGCUGGCUGCAACUGUUUAUUAAAAACACAGCACUGUGCAAACACGAAAGUGGACGUAUACGGUGUGACGCCUGCCCGGUGCCGGAAGGUUAAUUGAUGGGGUUAGCGCAAGCGAAGCUCUUGAUCGAAGCCCCGGUAAACGGCGGCCGUAACUAUAACGGUCCUAAGGUAGCGAAAUUCCUUGUCGGGUAAGUUCCGACCUGCACGAAUGGCGUAAUGAUGGCCAGGCUGUCUCCACCCGAGACUCAGUGAAAUUGAACUCGCUGUGAAGAUGCAGUGUACCCGCGGCAAGACGGAAAGACCCCGUGAACCUUUACUAUAGCUUGACACUGAACAUUGAGCCUUGAUGUGUAGGAUAGGUGGGAGGCUUUGAAGUGUGGACGCCAGUCUGCAUGGAGCCGACCUUGAAAUACCACCCUUUAAUGUUUGAUGUUCUAACGUUGACCCGUAAUCCGGGUUGCGGACAGUGUCUGGUGGGUAGUUUGACUGGGGCGGUCUCCUCCUAAAGAGUAACGGAGGAGCACGAAGGUUGGCUAAUCCUGGUCGGACAUCAGGAGGUUAGUGCAAUGGCAUAAGCCAGCUUGACUGCGAGCGUGACGGCGCGAGCAGGUGCGAAAGCAGGUCAUAGUGAUCCGGUGGUUCUGAAUGGAAGGGCCAUCGCUCAACGGAUAAAAGGUACUCCGGGGAUAACAGGCUGAUACCGCCCAAGAGUUCAUAUCGACGGCGGUGUUUGGCACCUCGAUGUCGGCUCAUCACAUCCUGGGGCUGAAGUAGGUCCCAAGGGUAUGGCUGUUCGCCAUUUAAAGUGGUACGCGAGCUGGGUUUAGAACGUCGUGAGACAGUUCGGUCCCUAUCUGCCGUGGGCGCUGGAGAACUGAGGGGGGCUGCUCCUAGUACGAGAGGACCGGAGUGGACGCAUCACUGGUGUUCGGGUUGUCAUGCCAAUGGCACUGCCCGGUAGCUAAAUGCGGAAGAGAUAAGUGCUGAAAGCAUCUAAGCACGAAACUUGCC